CAUUGGUAUUGGGUAAAUGAUGUGUAGGAUAGGAGGGAGACUUUGAAUUGGCGUCGCUAGGCGUUGAGGAGUCAUUGGUGAAAUACCUCCCUUUAUUUAUCUGAUGCCUAAUCUGGAGACAGAGACAGUGUGUGGUGGGUAGUUUGACUGGGGUGGUCGCCUCCAAAAAUGUAACGGAGGCUUUCAAAGGUACCCUCAGCAUGUUUGGUAAUCAUGCGAAGAGCGCAAUAGCAUAAGGGUGCUUGACUGUGAGGCCAACAAGCCGAUCAGGUAGGAAACU
RNAcentral lists this ribosomal RNA (280 nucleotides) under Gymnodinium catenatum. RNAcentral describes it as "partial Bacterial large subunit ribosomal RNA". It matches the Rfam family "Bacterial large subunit ribosomal RNA", at positions 2115 to 2406 of the family's 2925-position model. Lineage: Eukaryota; Dinophyceae; Gymnodiniales; Gymnodiniaceae. The record is from RNAcentral.